UGGUCUAUGGUGUAACGGUAGCACAACUGGUUUUGGUCCAGUUAGUUGAGGUUCGAAUCCUUGUAGACCAA
Molecule: transfer RNA, 71 nt
Filed under: Saprospiraceae bacterium
Lineage: Bacteria; Pseudomonadati; Bacteroidota; Saprospiria; Saprospirales; Saprospiraceae
Description: tRNA-Gln
Rfam family: tRNA
About the family: Transfer RNA (tRNA) molecules are approximately 80 nucleotides in length. Their secondary structure includes four short double-helical elements and three loops (D, anti-codon, and T loops).
Source: RNAcentral